AUAGAGUCAUACUUAUAUUACAACCCAUGGUGGCAUGAUCACAGUAGUCCUCAAAAUUUCAUGUAAAUAUACACCACAUAGAUCAUGUACAAGUCCCAAGGUUUAUACAAAAUAUAGAUGCCUAUAUGCAAUUGUGAUCUUCCAUCACCAAUGGCCAUCUUCAUGCCUCCUCUCGAUCAUUCCCUACGAUAGAAACAACUAUCGCUAAGCAUAUAGCAUAAUGGUAUAAAAACUAUAGGUUCGGAGCCAUCAGAUUCACAAAACUACCUUUCUCAAGUCAUGAGCAGAAUAAUCGAACAUAAUAAAUAAAUCAAGUAAACAAUAUAUCAAGAGUAUCAAGUUCGAUAUUUAGAGGUCCAAGUGUCAAGAACGCUCAUAGUACCAUUUUUCAAAAGAUUCAAUAACAAGGCUCGCCCAAUAUGUACAUCAUGUCUUCACACCAAGCACAAUCAAGUAUCGAGAAGAGCCGACGCCCUGU
This 478-nucleotide long non-coding RNA is filed under the name Solanum tuberosum (potato). Its description in RNAcentral is "long non-coding RNA (STUB_LNC011574)". Lineage: Eukaryota; Viridiplantae; Streptophyta; Magnoliopsida; Solanales; Solanaceae. The record is from RNAcentral.